UGAGCAUGUCUGCGUGCGAACCGGCUUCGCUCUUCUUGCGCGUCCAGGCAGACGGAUGCGUUUCUCUCCGCAUCUGCUUGAGCAGGCACGAGCGUCUUUGCAGAGAUGAGGGAAGUUGACCCCGAAAGGAUGUCAGGUCGGAAACACCUUCAUCGUCACCUCUGCGUUUGCCUCUUGCUCCAUCUUGUAACCCCAAAUAAAGCAAAGGCGAAGAGCCGGCGCCCAGUGAUACUCGCUUAGAACGGA
This is a long non-coding RNA of Microcebus murinus (gray mouse lemur), 246 nucleotides long. RefSeq lists it as uncharacterized. NCBI's taxonomy places the organism in Eukaryota, Metazoa, Chordata, Mammalia, Primates, Cheirogaleidae. The record is from RefSeq and is a predicted model, not a curated record.